This 492-nucleotide ribosomal RNA is filed under the name uncultured bacterium. Its description in RNAcentral is "partial 16S ribosomal RNA". It matches the Rfam family "Bacterial small subunit ribosomal RNA", at positions 29 to 507 of the family's 1533-position model. The record is from RNAcentral.
AGUGAACGCUGGCGGUAGGCCUAACACAUGCAAGUCGAACGGCAGCACAGUAAGAGCUUGCCCUUACGGGUGGCGAGUGGCGGACGGGUGAGGAAUACAUCGGACUCUACUUUUUCGUGGGGGAUAACGUAGGUAAACUUACGCUAAUACCGCAUCCGACCUACGGGUGAAAGCAGGGGAUCUUCGGACCUUGCGCGAUUGAAUUAGCCGAUGCCGGAUUUGCUAGUUGGCGGGGUAAAGGCCCACCAAGGCGACGAUCCGUAGCUGGUCUGAGAGGAUGAUCAGCCACACUGGAACGGGGACAGGGUCAAGACUCCUACGGGAGGCAGCAGUGGGGAAUAUUGGACAAUGGGCGCAAGCAUGAUCCAGCCAUACCGCGUGGGUGAAGAAGGCCUUCGGGUUGUAAAGCCCUUUUGUUGGGAAAGAAAAGCAGCAGGUUAAUACCACGCUGUUCUGACGGUACCCAAAGAAUAAGCACCGGCUAACUUCGUG